ACGCUGGCGGCGUGCUUAACACAUGCAAGUCGAACGAUGACUUCUGUGCUUGCACAGAAUGAUUAGUGGCGAACGGGUGAGUAACACGUGAGUAACCUGCCCUUAACUUCGGGAUAAGCCUGGGAAACCGGGUCUAAUACCGGAUACGACCUCCUGGCGCAUGCCAUGGUGGUGGAAAGCUUUAGCGGUUUUGGAUGGACUCGCGGCCUAUCAGCUUGUUGGUUGGGGUAAUGGCCCACCAAGGCGACGACGGGUAGCCGGCCUGAGAGGGUGACCGGCCACACUGGGACUGAGACACGGCCCAGACUCCUACGGGAGGCAGCAGUGGGGAAUAUUGCACAAUGGGCGAAAGCCUGAUGCAGCGACGCCGCGUGAGGGAUGACGGCCUUCGGGUUGUAAACCUCUUUCAGCAGGGAAGAAGCGAAAGUGACGGUACCUGCAGAAGAAGCGCCGGCUAACUACGUGCCAGCAGCCGCGGUAAUACGUAGGGCGCAAGCGUUAUCCGGAAUUAUUGGGCGUAAAGAGCUCGUAGGCGGUUUGUCGCGUCUGCUGUGAAAGCCCGGGGCUCAACCCCGGGUCUGCAGUGGGUACGGGCAGACUAGAGUGCAGUAGGGGAGACUGGAAUUCCUGGUGUAGCGGUGAAAUGCGCAGAUAUCAGGAGGAACACCGAUGGCGAAGGCAGGUCUCUGGGCUGUAACUGACGCUGAGGAGCGAAAGCAUGGGGAGCGAACAGGAUUAGAUACCCUGGUAGUCCAUGCCGUAAACGUUGGGCACUAGGUGUGGGGGACAUUCCACGUUUUCCGCGCCGUAGCUAACGCAUUAAGUGCCCCGCCUGGGGAGUACGGCCGCAAGGCUAAAACUCAAAGGAAUUGACGGGGGCCCGCACAAGCGGCGGAGCAUGCGGAUUAAUUCGAUGCAACGCGAAGAACCUUACCAAGGCUUGACAUGAACCGGUAAGACCUGGAAACAGGUCCCCC
This 977-nucleotide ribosomal RNA is filed under the name Arthrobacter koreensis. RNAcentral's name for it is "bacterial SSU rRNA". It matches the Rfam family "Bacterial small subunit ribosomal RNA", at positions 33 to 1016 of the family's 1533-position model. The record is from RNAcentral. Lineage: Bacteria; Bacillati; Actinomycetota; Actinomycetes; Micrococcales; Micrococcaceae.